This 40972-nucleotide long non-coding RNA is filed under the name Phoenix dactylifera (date palm). RNAcentral describes it as "long non-coding RNA (PDAC_LNC006315)". The record is from RNAcentral. Lineage: Eukaryota; Viridiplantae; Streptophyta; Magnoliopsida; Arecales; Arecaceae.
AGUAAGGAGGAAGCUGUAUGUAUAUAUGUACAUAUGUAUGUGCAUAUGCGUAGCCACAACUGCAUGACGGCCAUGAGAAGAGCACCUCUCCCUGCUUCCUUCUCUUUCUCUCUCUUGUUACUUGUCGGUGCUUAGGAAAUGGCGGGGAGAAGUUACUAUGUGAAAUCUUAUGACUUGCUCACCUAUUAAUGGCUUUGACCUGCCUGAUCUGAUUAUAAAUACUCGAAUCUGCCUUUAACUGCCUAACCUGCCCAGAUUCUAAUCUGUUUACCAUGCCUAUGGGUGUGUUUUUCGCUUAGAUAGGAUGUCUCGACACUCCUUAUGCAACCAAGCCGCAUAUGGGGGACUUGGGCCCUAAGAAAGGCAGAAAAGGUGCCAUCUUAGCCUAGACAGCGAUCCUUUAGAGCAGUCUUUACUCGCAUAAAACUAAUGACUAAUCAUUCACCAAAAUUAAAACUGAUGAGUAAUGACUAACAUGAAAUAACAUGAACCUUAAAAAAAUGGAGCCUAUCAUUAAAUUGGAGAUUGGAGAAGCAAUAUGGUGUUAGUUUGUUCGAGUACUGUUUGGAAAUGCUGCAGCUUUGCAAGAAUUCAGUGUACAAGGCAAUAAGUCAAAAUAUGCAAUUACAAUGUUUUAUGAUCCUCUAGCAAAAUAUGUAAAUAUGAUUAAGAAGUUUGUUUACACAUAAUACUUUAAAUCAUACAACAUUUCUAACACCCUCCUCAAAGUUGCAACAGAUUGACAUGCAUUGAGAGCGUUCUGUACUGUGGAUCUUUGUGAAGUAGUCUGCCAAUUUCUUUGUAGAUUGGGCAUAAUGAAGUGGUAGAUAUGAAGACAGAAGUUUCAAAUGAGGUGCUAGUCAAUCUUAAUGAGCUUUUCCCUCUCUGCAUAAGCCCAAAAUGCUGCCAAUUCAAAUGUCAGUCUAGUUAUUACUCUUGAAGUGGAGUGAUGAGCACAAUAGUGAUGUCACGGAAAAGGCACUGAGAUAGAUGAAGUCCAUUGCAUCAUAAGCCACUAAAAAAAAGACUCCAGGAUUUUCUUUUUUCUCUUAAAAAUGGAAAGCCUAAUUUCAUUCUAAAUGAUUGAUGCUGCCUACUAUUAUAAUAUUAUGCACAAGAGCACCUACAACUGUAGGAACUCUGAUGGAGACUAAUAUGAGUAGUUUUUUACUUUUUCUAGAGAUGUUUGAUCGAGGUAUGUAUGCUGGACCUGUUGGUUGGUUUGGAGGAAGAGAAAGUGAAUUUGCUGUUGGGAUCAGAUCGGCUUUAGUGGGAAAGGUAAGGAUAAACAAAGGCUUCUUUCUGCAAAUGCUUCAAACCUGGAAAUGUAGAUUUGGAAUUUAAUGAGUGUAAUGCCUGCUAACAUAUGGUUUGAUCAGUCCUAACAUACCCUAACACUUUAUGGCCAAAAUACACCACUACCUAUGUUCUGUCUUCAUUCAGUUCUCUUCAGAUUUAUAUUAUAUAUUUUGGAUUAUUUUCUGGUUUGAAUCUUAAAUAUGAUAUUUGAGCUAAGUAGUCCUAAAGCAAAUAACACUGUUGAGACAGUUGAGAUGAAAUCUGUUGGUUUUGGUCAUGAAAAUAGAUAGGAUCUUGAGAUCCUAGUUAAAAACCAUUAAAUUGAUUCUAGCUAGGUAUUUUAGAACUAAUGCCCUUCUGGAAUCGGCAUGAAACACCUUAUUAAUUCAUCAAACUGCAGAGGAUUUGUCUUUUUAACCCAAUAGGAAAUUACUGUUUCUUUAUAAAGUAUAGGUAAUUUGUUUAUAAGAUAUCAACAAAAUAGUAGAGUAUAAAAAAGUAGGAUAAAAUAGCAGUAAUUUUUAAUAAGAGAUAAUCGAUGGAAAGUUUCAAAAUCCUCCUUUUAACCAUGAACCAAGAUAUCAAACUAGCAACAAAAGUCAAGCAAACUUGUACAGCAUGAAAUCAUCCUUUAGAGCAUCUACUAUGUCUGUUGAAAGCCGAAGAAAUUCAUGUGAGGGAAGCCUAAUAGGUUCUUACAGACGGUGCAUGUGUACUACCUUGAGGAGAUGAAGAUAAUGAUGCUAAAAGAAAAGGAAACAAGGAAUUAUGAAGAUCUUAGCGAAGAGUAUAAUUAACUGGAUGUAACUUGUAGAUGUAGAAGAAUUGCUAGUUUGUCCUUACUCUUUUCAUUCCACACCCAAUCCAACAUCUCAUAAGGUAGAAAUGAGUUAUGUAAUUUCAGAAUUUGUAGGUAUUGAAGGUGUGCUGUAGGAAGAUGGUAUAAGAAAUUUACAGGACAAAGGAUUUUACAAGGAAAAAUGUGUUGCAGUUUGCAAUACUUUGAAAUAGAAGUUUGGUUUUGGUCUUUGCAAGUAGUAAUCUAAAUCCCCCCCAACUUUUUGGUAUGAGCUAGCUUGCCUGCUAUCGUCUGCCCAAUUUAUAAAGUUCGCAUGAUGUUUAACAAAAGCUAUUGAUUACUUACACAAUUUAGUUAUUCCUUGGAUUCGUAGGCCAUGUAGAUCAUCCUACUUUAUUCUUAAAUUUGUGCAUUAACUGAAGUUGUUGAAGGACAUCUAUAUAACAUAUUGUUGAAGAAUGAUAUAUUGAUUUCAGUACUAUUGCAAAAUUUCACAUUGUAGCUGAAAACUAGAGGUUCUAUCCUUUAAAAUAAAAGGGGUCCAAAUGGUCAAGUAUCUUAUUCACAAUACUUCCACAAAUUGAUCUUUUCUGUUAAAAUGCUUCAGAUGUAAGCAUAGCAGCAUAUUAUUUCAUCAUCGACUUCAUGCAAUACAGCUUUAUAAUCUUAUAGCUGUUGAACAGAAUUGGAAGUAUAUUUAAAACGAAUCUAUUGGUGUUUUUCUUUAUGGCCCUAGAUAUAAAUGAAAUAGGAUAUAUUAACUUGACCGCAUAUUAUGAUAUUAUUCUUAUGUUUUUUUUUUCUUUGCAUUUAUUGGCUAGUAAUUUUUUAUGCUCAACCUGCUUUACCUAUGUGUAUUGCAGGGUGUUGGCACAUUGGUCUAUGCUGGUGCUGGGAUCGUUGAAGGAACUAACUCAUCUUUGGAAUGGGAUGAACUAGAUCUGAAGGCAUCCCAGGUCUCUCUCUCUCUCUCUCUCUCUCUGGCGUUUAUGUAUGUACGCAUGUGGCAAACUGCAUACACUGCAUGCUCCCACUUUUUUCCCUAUUUAUAUAUAUAUUUAUUAAGAUUAAUGCAUGAUUCUGUUUAUAUUGUUUUCCAUUUUUCUCAGUUCACAAAGUUGUUUGAACGUAAAGAAGUACCUGAUGCUUGCUAUCAAGAGAUGAACAUGGGCUCCGCCAACUGAGCAGGUGACUCGUGACUUUCUGUCGUUGCUAAAAUUUUUUAUGAAGACUCGCGAGUCUCUCAUUUGGAUGCAUAAUAAAAUAUUUCUUUAAGAGAAAAAAAUGGUUUAUUUCUGGUCUUCUUGCUCGAUAAUCCAUGUCUCUGGCGAGUUCCUGUUGUAGAUUACUCAUACAGAAGAUUCCGAGGCUGUGAUGACUAGAGAUGCAUGAUGUACUUUAAAUGUUCUUUCUUACAUUAUAUGAAGGCCAAGUAUUUUUUGAGAGAUAAUUUGUUAGUAAACACGACUUUUCUUCUUUAAUCCUUUCUAAACAUUGUUUUUUUUUUUUUAACCAUUUGAACAUUGUCUUUUUUUAACUCGAGAAAAAUAAAAUUAUACUAAAAGAGUGGCUUUAUGCAUGUUUAGUGUUCGAUACAUAGACUUGGGAGAUAAUGGAGGAAAAUUUAAUAGGGGACUGUUUCUUUGAAAUUACUUCGUUUGUUCUAGCCGUGAAUGAUGCUGUUCUCUAGUUGUAAAUGAUGAUGUUUGCCUUUUCAUUUGAUGGUGCUUCAACGGGAUUUGUUGUUAAUGGCAGGCACCGUUGUGGAGGUGGGUGAUUGAUAGAUUGGCUGCUGGUUCAGCUUUUUCCUCCUUUUGCGGUGGACGUGCAUGACGAAUUCUGGCAGUUGAAAGUCUUGAUUAAGCUGAAGAAGAAGGAUCUGCUUUCCCGAGGGAAUUGCAGAUUUCCAAACCUUGUAGCCGGCAUAUACUUUGGUAAUAACUUAAACCAUUAUGUAUGUACAGACAUUUUGGUAUGUUAUUUUACUGUAAACAACACUCCAAGUCAGUUGCCAUGCGUAUAUGGCUUUGCCGAUGGUCCUGAGAGCCUGUGAUGGCCCCACUCAUGUUAAGCAAAAAAAUUGAUUUGGUGAGCCGAGCCCAUCCAUAAAAUACCAGCAGCCCUCUGGCCUAGCUUGGGGAAUUUAAUUCUUCCCAUUUAUCCCAAGUCAAGGUUUCCCUUAUCCGAGAAUCGGACAAAGUUUGGAAUUCUCUUUUGCAAGCUUGGAAGAUGCGAAGAAUUGCUUUUCAUCUGCGACUAGCAUGAGCGCCGAUGAAGAAAAGUUUGGAAUAAGCAGUCGCGGGCGCAACCUCGGGACAAGGAUUGUAUAUUUAUAUUUAUAUUUAUAUUUAUAUAUAUAUAUAGAGAGAGAGAGAGAGAGAGAGAGAUGCCACUCGCAUGCAAACCAACAUCAACGCUAGUUUGCUCUCGACUCCAAAUGGCUUGCACGCAGAGCUGCACUUUUUUUCAGCCAGCCACUCAAUGGACGCAGGAUCCCGAUAAACAUAUACUACGCGUUUGCCUCCCAGGUAUGAGCAUAUAACCAUCACUGGGUUUUGGUUGCUUACCCCACACUCCAAUUAUAUGGAUCCCAUACUGAGAUGCACCGCCAAAAGUUUUGGUUACUGGUUAUUAGCACCAUCAGGACAAGCCCCAGUUCAUUUCAUUACGACUACCACUAUGAUUUUUUUUAAUAUUUCAACAAUGCAUUGCACUCAGCUCCAAACAAAGAGAAGCAAAAAAAAAAUCCUUGAUUUUUUUGAUGCCAUGCAGGCAUCGGUCACGUCAAUCCUUAACGAGCGUCGGAUCGUUUUUUUUCCUUGUUUUUUAACCUUAUUCUAGUGGGAGAAUCAUUGGAGGGGUGAGUGGUGACAAGAAAUCAGGAGAUCCUGAUAUUUUAAAUUCUUAAUGGUUUCUUUGUGACAAUCCAUAUCCCCACCUAAAAAGACUACCAGAAGAAUGGAUUCUUUAGUCUCAUAAAUAUCUAGCUAUCGAGGGGCUAAAUACAUGCAUGCAUAAAUUCUUGACAUUCUAUUUAAACUAAUGUUCAAAUUUAUUCAAAUUCAAUCAUAAGCUGUGGCGGGGCGGCUUUUUUGUUUAACAAUAAGACCUGGACGAUUAUCCCUACCCUCGGUAGCUUACGAGUUUACGUCCAUCCCUGGUCGGGUACAGUUUCCCAGGUCAUGAUUAACUCAAAUAGACCUAUAUUGCAGUAUCUUCUAGUCCACGUAAACUAUGACCGGCUCUACUCCAAUACUAUUUAUGGCAAUUUAGAAACCUCAUCUAAAAAAAAUUAAUUAAAAUAUAUUAUUUAGAUUUCUCGACUCAAUAAAACAUUAACGUACCGUCUCAUGUCAUCUAAUCACAUGAAAGGCAUAUUGGUCAUUCCAAAUCUAAUCUCUCUCUCUCUCUCUCUCUCUCUCUUCUUUUCUUUUUUUCCCCCUUUUCUUCCUAAAAUAAAGGUUUCCAAAAGGAUGAAAUCAAGGUCCAGGUUGACUGCUGUGGGAAGCUAACAAUAAGGGGCGGGAGGCCACUCGGUGAUGGCAAAUAUAUGCGUUUGGAGCAGGUUUUUGCCGUUCCUAAAGAUUCACAUGUUGAUAAGAUCCGAGGGAAAUUUGAAGAAGCACAUCUCUGUUUAUUCAUGCCAAAGAAGGUGGUGUCAGAAAAGCAGGAACCUCAAAGGGCUGCUUCAUGCGAAAAAAAGCAAGUGGAAGCCCCACCCGAGAAGCCAAGCAGCAGCCUGGUCGGGGCUGACAGACUCGAAGAAUGUAAAAAGAAAGCGGGGGCUUGGAAAUUAAGAAUUGCAGAGAAUGUGGAAGGGUGGCUGGAUUACGGAUUGAUAGAUGGAUUACUGGAGACAAUCAGCAAGAACAAAAAGGCCAUCGCUGUAGGUGCUGCAGCCUUCUCCGUUGGCUUUUAUGUAUCCGGAAAACUGAGGUCAAGUGGAAGAUGAGCACAUCCACCAGCCUUCUGCAGUUGACUUUCCACAGUAUAACUUGUAAAGUCCUAAAAUACAGCAACUACUACAAUUAUUUUGCUCUGCACUAAGAUCAAAGUGUGUGAAAAUUACUUAUCAAUUAUUCUCAUUUCACCCACGGGUAAGGGGUGUUUUAUAAAGUACUGGAAUACAACUUUUAAAGAAUAAGUUCUCUAGAUAUGAUGAAGAUUGAUAUAAACUUUACACGUCAAUCAUAAUAAACUAAUAAUUUGGUUAGAGUUGAUGCUACAUACAAUUCAAGUUGCCUCCUUCCUUCACCAGCCAAACUCCAUUUCUUAGGACUGCUUGAUGGCUCAUAAUAUCCUGGCCCAAUCUUGACUGCAAUCUUCUCACCAAUCUCAGCUGCAUAGACAUCCCUCUCUGCCUUUGUUAUCUUGAUCUGAAACAUGCAAUUAGUUGUGAAAUUCAGAACGUGGAAGGCUAAAAUGGCACUAUUUAGGCAGGCAUUGCACAUGAAAAGCAAAGAAACGAGGUGCUCAUUUGGACAUUUCAUACAGGAUUCACUGUCGGUCAGAAGUGAAAGCCAUUCUAAAUAACUAAUCAUGCACUCAAUCAUAAUCAAACUUCUCUCGCUGAAGAUCAAAACUUUAAACACCACGAGGGAAAUAACUUUUCUGUUUUCUUUUAUUCUAUUUUUCUUUUUUGGAUAAUGUUUUGAUCAUGAUAAAUAUUGCUCUACAUGAGGGAAACAGACCAAUCAAAGCAUCCAUGAAAACUUAGCACAGAAUGUGUGGUCUCAAAAAGUUAUUUUUAUAUAUCCUAUCCAUGUAUAAUAAGGGAUCAUUCUUUACAAGUUUCAAACAUCUAAAAAUAAAUAAAGGUGUCUUUAUUUUGAUGUACGGCAUCCACUCCAUACUCUUGGAGUGAAUCUUCUUCUGAUGUCUGAGUGAGAUUAAUCUAGAAAUUUCUUGCUGAUGGUGAGAAAAUAUGUGGUCAUGAAAAACUGCAGGUGGGCCAGGAUGUGUCAGGAUGUAGGCAUACCCUUGCAUCUCCUUACCAGAUGGGAAUCUCCAAUGACCCUGUUGAAAAAACAAGGUACAACAUGAAAAGAAUUCCAUUAUUAUGAGACAAGGAAAGUCAGAUUUAGAUAUUUAAAUAAUCUAACUUGUUUCUGACAUUGUGUUAAGGGAUGUAAAUUCUCAAUAAACAUCUUUACAGAUAUACAAGGCUUAAAUAUUUAACAUAACCUAAUGGUUUUUUCAUAAGCAAACAGCUAGACAUUCAAUGGCAAUGUUUUUCCUUCAUUCCAAGUAUUGUAUCCAUAAGAUAGCAAUCGAUUCAUUGUUCACAAAGAACUACAAAUACUGAACUCCAAAUGUACUGUUGGUUCUGGCAUGUGAAUUUUUCCUAAAAUGCCCUUUAUUUUCAAAGAAAUGCAAUUUGAAAGUUGAUACGAAAAAAAUAAUGCUUGAGGAAGUGACCUUAGUGGUUGAUCUGUUUCUUCGCAUGACAUUUUAAACAAAGAUAAUUUGGAAGAGCAUCUAUAAGAAAACUAGAAAUAUGACCUUUUAUGGGUGGGUCAACAACAGUAAUCAAGGUUCACCAAACCAUUACCGGAGAUCAUACCUGCCGGCGAUGGGUUUGGCACAAUAUAAAUCCAUACCAUACUGUGAGGGAGGGAGAGAGGCGGAGGGGCUUACCUGGGCAUCAGUCAAGAUCGGUGUCAAAGAGGAGCCUGACAAGCGACCAAGCAAGCAGGAUGAGUGAUCGGGUGAGCAACAGAGCUUCGAAGCCUUGAUCAUAGUGGAAUGGGGGCAUUUAGGGCCUGAGCCUUUAAAGGGGCUGAACCAACCCAACCGCCUAAACCAUUCUGAUUUUUGACCGGUUCGGUUCGUCCAGCUUGGGUUGGUUUAGCCUUCCUAGACAAUAACAGUAGCUCUAGUGGUGAACCAAAUAGUUAUGAAAGAAAGGCAAGAAUGGAGCUCGAAGUAGGAAACGUAGGUUAUAUUUCUUAAAUAUUCAUUCAAUUUGUAUAAUUGUAUUGUUCAAGUUUUCUGCUGGUUGGACUGGGUGAUGUUUGAUGUAGGAUGGUCCUUUAUACUAAGUUUUGGGCUUUUACCUCCACUUACUAUGAGUCCAUAUUGACUAUCACAGUGCUGGGCUGGGCUGAUAUUGUGCCAGCCUGUUUCAUCUAUGACAUUGUCUAUACUCUCUAGUGUGUAGAUUCGAGUCAAGUCAUGUGGAUCAAUCUACUGGCAGGUUUGGAUUUGGUAAUCCUCAAUAGCAGACAGUGGAUAGGAAUCUGACUUUUAACCAGUGUAGACUGAAACCAUGAUGGUUAAGUUUAUGAUAUUUGUAAACAGUGCUGAAAUGAUCAAUGCACCAUGGAAAAAUUGAAAGCUGGUUUUGUAAUUUAAUCAGUGCAUUUUAUGUAUCUAAAGAAGAAACAAAUAAUAUCAAAUGGUCGCAACUCAAUUAAAGAUGUGUACAUAAGAACAAAAUUCUUUCUAUUCCAACCAGUGCAAACAAUUAGGGAUAAGCAAAGACAAUAUUGUUAAAGAGUAGAACAGAAAAAGAAAAAGAAAGGCAUAAUGCUGAAACCAGGAAUGGAGACUAGGUCAAAAAUGGCAAUAAAAAUUUAAGCUAACAAGCUUAACAUAGGUCGGUAAGUAAAUAGAGAAUGGAUACCAAAAAGGUACAUUCAACAUAAAGAAAAGGGACGGUGACCAAGAAAAACUAAAAUUAGUCCAUGAAUUGUUCAUGUAUUCAUUAGGAGUUUUAAGAUAUGCAUCUUCCUUGCUUAACAGUGUCAAAUCAAGAGAAAGAACUCUAGAUACACUUUUGUAACUAUUUUGAGAAUUUACUAAUAUUAAAAAGAAUCAAGUUAAAAUGGAUAAAUUAGGAAACUUUCACUUUAGACUAUGUUGUUUUCCAACAUGUAGAAAAAUGAAACUAUGAAAUAUCUCAAGAGGCAAGAUAACUUUAGGCAUUUCAUACCAUAGUAGAGACAGUAUCAUGAUUCUCUAUAAAUGUAACUGCAUGAGAUGGCCACCAACCUACAACCCCAAGUGGCUUCCCCUUUUGAUCAGAUAAUCGCCAAUACUCGCACAUUUCCAAGUCCUAGAAGAACAAAAUAGCCCGUUAAGUUAUAAUUGACCGAAUGACAUUUUUAUGAAGCAAUUAAUGAUUAUAAGCUUAACUUGAACUCAGAUGUAUUGGUAGUUGCCACUAUGGGAAAUGGGUGUGGAAAAUUGAUAGAAGAACAAGAAGCAUGAGAUGAACACCAAGAUAAGUUCUCAAAUAGCAUAAGAUGCAUUCUCCAUACAAAAAAUGAAGAAAGCAUCUUGUGGUUCACUAAGAAACUCCGUUUCCACAGGAAAUUUCUGAACUCUCAGAGAUCCUAGGCAUUCCCCCAUUUGUGGCCAAGACAUCACAAAGACUUCUAGGAUAACCGGAAGUUUCCAACUUUCCAUGAAUCAGUCAUGCUGAAAUCCAGAAAUACAAAGUUAAAGAGCAUGCACUAAUCUUGUCAUCAUCAUCAUCAUCACCAUUUUGUGCAUCUGUGUUUGGAUGUGUGCAGUCAUAAGGAUAUCGCAAUUUACAGCUAAAUGCAAUAUUGCAAUACAAAACUCAAUGUAACCCUGUGAACAGUUUUAAUAUAAGUCAAAAUUUGACUGAGACACUUCAUAUAGCAACUUGACUAUCCUGGUCAUACUGCCCACCACUCUUAUGAAGUUUUAUUGCAUUUUAAAGCACCAUUCAAGCAAGGACAUUGCAUAAAUUUGAAAGUUAAAGCACAAGUUCUCAGAAAAUGAUGCUCCACAUUUACCAAUAGGGCACAGUAGACAAACAGAUGUUAGAUUGAAAGUAUAACUAUAGAUAUUUUAGGCAUUAAUACCCAUUAAAAGCUUUAAGGCUCAAUAUCAUAUAAGUUGAUGGACUGGUCAACAUAAUGAUCUUGCUCAUAUGAUGAUUGACUAAUGUGUAAAUCCAUGUCAGUCGCAUCAUUAAGUUAGUGCUCCCCAGCAAGAAUAAAUGACAGCAGAACUAGCAACUAAAUUUUAAAAAUUAUCUCUAUGUUCUUUAAUUGAUAAUAUAGAAAUGUUUAUUUAUAUAACUUCUAAGUGUUCCUUAUUUAAGUCAGAGCAGUAUAAGUACCAAAAUAAUAGCAAAAGAUCUAGACCAUAUGAAAUGGUUUUCAGCAUUAGGAUCACAUAAUCCGCCAGCCUCAGAGCUGAGAUGAGCUUCAAUAGAUAAGCAUGUUAUAGUUCUCUAACGAGUAAAAUCUGCUGUGACUUCAAAAGAGAAAAGUGGGAUGUUAAAAAGAUAAGGAAAAGAGAGUCAACAGAUCUUACAGUGUGAAGGAUUCCUUUAGUAGUGACAUCAAAGGCACCAGCAGUUCCACUUGUAGCAUUUAUCCAAUCAAUGAUUCUCUGCCUGUGAGCAUCUUGAUUAUACUACUACAACAUGUAUGGAAAUCAUACCCAACAAGAGUUACAUAUCCUCCUUGGUCUAAAUCUUACAAAAGGGCCAGUCCUCCAAAAUGGAUACUGUUUUCUAUCUCUUAAUCAUAAUCAUAUUCAACCUUCUCCCAACUAUUUCAGUGCGGCUUUAUUGAUCCUAAUUUGCCAAAUUUUCCUAUUCCAUCUCAUAAUCAUAAUCAUAUGAAGCAAAACAAUAAACAAAAUAUUGGUCUUUAUAUCUUAUGCAUUCUUCUUUCAAUGAUAAAUAAGGAAAAAAUGUCACAAACAGAAAUGACAACCAAGAUGCACCAUGUCAUUUCAAAGUUCUUUAUGAAUUCAUGCUAUAUUACACUGCACAGCUUUCCAAAUAAUUUCUUUUUUUCCAAUUAUAGUUUCUUGAAGUUUCCAAAUUUAGCAUCAACAUGAUGUAGCUUACAACUUUCAUUUUGCAUUCAUUUCUUGAUAUCAGAUCCUGUAACACUUGCAAUUUUUCUUCUUUAGAAGAAUUCUGGUACAAAUAGUAGAGCAACCUUACAUCUUUAGCAAGAAAUGCAUCCUUUGAAAUAAAUAAUUUUGACAGCAACUUAAAACAUAUAAAAUGCAGUCCCUCUCUAGUGCACCUGUAACAAAGUUUGAAAGGGUCUUCUGCUGAAAAAUUUUGGUUCCUGGAGGAUAAGGGGCAGAUGGGAUUUCCCGUUUUCUGCCAUUAUCCUUACAGACUCCCCAGUGAACAACAACAUCACCAGGUAUGUAUACCAGCAUCACAAAGAAUAUUCUUCAUAAAUCCACGAAUGUGCUUAUUCUGCCGCUAAGUAACUUUGGGCAAUUCCUUGGGUUGAGAACUAGAUCGUAAAGCUUUCAGAAGCAAGCAAGAUAUGUGGUCAAAAGUCUCUGAAAACAGAAAGAAUUAAAAAUCAUCGUCACCAAGCAACUUCACAACUAUAAAGGAGCUUCUCUCCAUUGACAUAUGCUUCUAACAAAAAAAAGCCAAAAAAACAAGAUGUUGAGGAAAACUGAAUGUUAAUCACAUGGAGAAAGUGAACAACAAUUAUACAAAACCAGGACAUUCCCAUGGAGAAAAAGGGUAGCAUGUCAAUCAUUAGCAAUGAACUGCUAUUUGAGGAUUCAAGAAAAAAAGGUAUGAAGGAAAUUCUCUUUUUAGAUCAAGCACAUGCUAUUCCUAUGUCACUACAAAAUAUGUCUUAUGAAUUCUGGCCCCUAAAUCAUGAAUUUCUAACAAAUGUAUCCCGCUAGAUAUAGAGCUUCUUGUAUUGUUUUAAUAUUUUUAGUCCCUAAUAUCAUAUUAAUCUUUCUAUACAACUAUUAAGAAUCCAGAUCCUAAACAGGCUACAUGGAUGCCCAAAUACCAAACCAGUAUAAUAUCCCAUGCAAACCUUGAAUUUAUAUGAUGUGAUAGAAAUAGGGAUGAAAAUGGAUCGGAUGAUAUCCUUCUAGUUCUGACUAAUAUUGGUAAACAUAUUCAUAUCCAUCAAAGAAAAGUGGAUAUGGAAAUGGAUACACAACUGUCCAAUCCCUAUGCAAAUAUCUAAUUCCAUUUGCUGUACUAUUUAGUCUGAUAUAACUCUCUAAAAUUUCAAAAGAAAAUAAAUGAUAACAUUGAUGUCUUUAAUUCAAUUUAACAUUUUUGAUCUUGAAGCUCAUAAAGUUUAAUUAUCUGAUUUAUAUCCACAUCUAGACCUGUAUUGCCAAUGUCCGCUAUGUAUCCACAUAAGACUAAAACAAAUAUGGAUAUGGAGUCUAGUGUCCAACUAAUUUACAUAUCUGUAUCCAUGUUCACCAAAUAAAAAUGGAUACAGGUAUGGACAAACUGAUAUCUGAUAUGUUUGCAGACCUAAACAAAAAGUGGAUAAAUUAAAAAAAAAAAUGAGGAAGGCUGCUGAUCCCAAAAUCCAAAAAUUUAUGGAAACCACAAAAUUACUUUGCAAAUGGAAUAUGAUAUGACAAAAACAUUAGAGCAGUCAAUACAGCCAAACUCAAUGAUUCUACAGGAUAAAGUAGAUGGGAAUUUGCAAAAAAUCCUACGAUUUGACAAUAGUCAAUAUCUUACCGUGCAGACAUUUAGUAGGCAUUUUCUAAAGGUUCCCAGCCCCUGCAUCCAAAAGCAACCAUUUAGGCAGUCAUUUCAUGAUAAUUCGCUAAUAUACCACCCAACAAAUCAAUAAAAUAGAUAGAUGCUUGGAAAAUCUUUAUGAUGAACAAUAGAGCAUCUAAUAGAAGUAUGAAAUAAACUAAUAUUAUAAACAAUGUCCAUGGUUCAACUCCAACCUGAGUGCUCAACUCCACUUUUAAGAAAAUUACAAAAAUAUCUUUCAUAAUGUUAUCGGCUUUUUGCCCUUUCAUUCCUCUGUUCACCCUUUAUGUGCAGAGCAUGUGCUAGAUUUUAGUAAACAAAAAAUUACAACUUGAUGGUUUUACUCACGCUUAAGUAUUGUAGUUUUUCAAAGGAUAGCUAUAUUUAGAAAUUUGACAACUCAAAUAUUAAAAAGAAACAAACAGGCAUUAAGAAACUUUGCAAGUAGACUUGUAACAAUCAAAACAGAGUAAAUCUCAUACAGAUUAGACUAAACACUUUCCAUGGAUCGACAUUUAGGAACUAAUUCCAAGCAAUCGGCAAGUUUCAAGCAAUACAUCCAAAGGAAAGGUAAAAGUACCAGGUGAAUUAAAUGUUUACUUCAUGAAAAAGGAUUUGCAUUAGUAUGAAUCAUCUUUGAGGAUCCAAUAGAUCAUACAAGUCUUGAAAAGCCAUCUGUGAACAGAAAAUGCUUUGGGGCACCAGUUAGUGCACAAAAGGUUGCCUUGCUGGCUUGGCAACUCAGCAUUCAAUCAACCCCCAUACACCGCAUGAAUUCCCGUAAACUGCACAUAUCCCGUUAUGCCACAUGGCAUGCAGAUUAGAGCCAAGAGACUGCAAUUUUUAACUCAGACUAUGCAAGUCGAACUUGCACAAAAAUAGAAAUACAUAAAUCAAAAUAGAUGCAAGGGGGCAUUUAUCACUAGUUUGAUAUUAAAUAUAGAUCUAUUUUUCUUUCUUUUUUUCCCUGGUAUAUAAAUAAAAAGAUCUUACUUUCCUUCUUUUCCUUUUCUUUUUGUUUUUCUUUUCAAAGAAAGAUUCAACUAUAAAGAUAAAAAGGGUUGUGGCUUACCUUCCCAGUUCAUCACAAUAGGUGACUCCCCAGUGCAAAACCCGCUUCCCUUCCAGAUUACACCCCACCACCAGCCACCAUCUCGAUCCGUCUCCCUCCUCCGGAUCCAAUCUCACUGCUAUCUCCCCUUCGACCUGCCAUGCCCAAAACCUAGUGAAGUCAUCGUCAAUUUCAGUGUGCACAUCGGACAAGGGGGAGGGUUGGCAGUUCAUUGCGAGUCCUAGUUUUGCUAGGAUAUAUUUUUUGUGCCAGAAUAUAAGUGACUUCGGUUUUGAACAUCAUGGAGUGCUAGAUAAAGUAGGACUAGCUAGGUAUGUUAUUCUCAACAAAGGCGCUCUCCUAGCAGAUCUCUUUCUCUUAGACACAAGAAUUGUUAGCAGGAGAGUUUGACAAGGACUUAAGUCCUAUUCUAACAUGAGUUCUAGUACUUAAUUGGGAGUGGCGUGUCAGAGUAAUAGGAUCGGUGGGAGUGUAUAAAGUGGAUGUAUGAAGCUUAGGUCUUGUAGAGAAUGAGUAUGAUAGGAUCUGAGAUCCCCCCAAGACUUCUUAUGAGAAAGAAGAGAGAGUGAUGGAAAGAACGUGGGUUGGGAAGAAGAAGAGAAGAGGAUAGUUAGAAGGAAAUAUUCUCUGCCUUCAUAAGUAACAGGGAUAUGGCUUUAUAGCCUCACGUCCUACAUUGCCAACUCACCUUGGCCAUAAUUAAAAGACAACUAGGAACUGACAAAUGACAACUGGAAAAAUAACUGAUAACUCAACCCCUCAACUCCUAACAAUACGCGCACGUCUUGCAUGCCACUCAACCCACUCGACUCCUAACCAUACGCGCACGUCUUGCAUGUCUCGUACACCUUGAGUACGUGCGCCAACCCGGAGGGCAUAACUCCCGCAUCCUGUCACUCCCUGCUCCUUCAAAACGAACCUUGUCCUCAAGGUUCAUAUGAGCAAACUGCAGCUUUAACUUGUCAUAUGACUCCCAUGAAGCGUCUUCUGCUGGUAACCCAGUCCAAUGAACUAGCGCCUCCUGCACCGCAUGAUUCCCUGUUUUAGUCCAGCGGAAGUCAGUAAUCUUGAAGGGCUCAACAACUAAUUCUCCUUCUUCAGUGAAUGUCGGCAGUUGAGGAAGAGCUCGCCCGAUUUCUCCUAUCUGUUUCUUCAACUAUGAAACGUGAAAAACAGGAUGUACCCUGGCAUCUACUGGUAAGUCAAGCCUGUAAGCAACAGCCCUAAUCUUUUCAAUCACCCUGAAGGGACCAUAAAAAUGGAGUGCUAAUUUCUUGUUGCCGCCCAUCUUUAGGGAGGACUGCCGAUAAGGCUGAAGCUUGAGGUAGACCCAAUCCCCGAUUGCAAAGUCCAGUUCUCUGUGAUGUUUGUCCUGUUGCACCUUCAUUCUAUUUUGAGCAAUGUCAAGAUUAUCCUUCAACAGGCGAAGAACCUCAUCACGAGUACGCAACACUUGGUCGACCAGAGCGACACUUGUAGAACCCGUUUCAUAGCAAUGCACAGUAGGAGGUGGUCGGCCAUAAACUGCCUCAAAAGGGAUCAUCCUAGUCAAUGACUGACAUGAUGUGUUAUACCAAAAUUCUGCCCACGGAAGCCACUGAACCCAUAGCUUUUACUUAAGACCAGCAAAGCAUCUCAAAUAAAUCUCUAAGCAUCGGUUGAGCACUUCCGUUUGUCUGCCCGUCUGAGGGUGAUAGGCAGUACUCAUCUUCAAUUUUGUACCUUGUAAAUGGAAGUACUCCUGCCAAAACAAACUAAUGAACACAGGAUCCCGAUCAGAAACAAUGGAACGGGGCAUACCGUGAAGGCGUACAACCUCUCUUGCAAAGACAUCGGCCACUAUUUUAGCCGAAUGAGGAUGCUUCAGAGGAAUGAAAUGCCCAUACUUGGAGAGGCGAUCCACAACCACCAAAAUAACAGAGUAGCCAGAUGAUGUCGGAAGACCCUCAAUGAAAUCCAUGGAAACAUCCUCCCAAAUCUGAUCUGGAAUAGGCAAUGGCUGAAGCAAUCUGGCUGGUGACAUGGCCUCAUACUUGCUGUGCUGGCAUGUGUCACAAGCCAAUACAUACUCUUUCACAUCCCGCUGCAUACCCCUCCAAAAGAAACUAUCGGCCAAUCUUUUGUAGGUGUGCAAAACUCCAGAAUGACCGCCCAUUGGGGCAUCAUGAUACUCAUGUAGUAGGCGCUUCUUAAGUUGGUGGUCAGUAGGCAACACUAAUCUCCAUUUAUACCACAGAUCAUUCUCGAUGACAGAGAAGUGUCGGACCCUUGAGUCACCUGCCUGUACUUUGUCUCGGAUCUCUUUUAGUUCUAGGCUGGAUCUCGCCUCCAAGCACAACUCCGUCAGCCAUUCUGGACGUGGGUAAGUGAUGGUGGAUAAUGUAGACUCCUCAUACUGCCGAGAGAGCGCAUCCGCGGUGCUGUUUUCUUGUCCCAAUCUGUACACGAUCUCAAAGUCAUAGCCCAACAGCUUGACCACCCACCUCUGUUGAUCUAAGGUGGUGAGGCGUUGUUCGAGAAGAUGCUUCAGACUUCGAUGAUCAAUACACACUUCGAAUCGUUGCCCAAGCAAAUAACUCCUCCACUUGUUGACAGCCAGCACGACUGCCAUAAGUUCUUUCUCAUAUGUAGAUCGCCCCCGAGCGCGCUCCGACAAGGCCUUACUAAAUGCAAGUGGGCAUUCGUCCUGCAUCAAAACUGCCCCUAUCCCACAUCAAAACUGCCCCUAUCCCGCAUCCCGAUGCAUCGGCCUCUACCACAAAAGUCUUGUUGAAGUCCGGUAAGGCCAAUACUGGUGUUGUCGUCAUAGCGGCCUUGAGUUCCAUGAAUGCUCGAUCAGCUUCCUUUGUCCACUGAAACCCAUUCUUCCGGAGGAGUUUUGUCAAGGGCUCUGCAAUCUUUCCAUAGUUCUUUAUAACUUGCGGUAGUAGCCAGUCAACCCAAGAAAUCUCCGGAGCGCUCGUACAUGCUAUGGGCAUGGCCAAUCUACCAUACUCUUGAUCUUUUUUGGAUCGACUGCAACCCCAUGGAACGAGAUGAUGUGUCCCAAAUAGUCGAUCUCCUGCUUGCUGAAGGUGCACUUAUUCCAGUUCGCAAAGAUACGGUGCUCUAGCAAGGUCUGAAGGAACAAAUCGGAGAUGGUGCAUGUGUUCUUCCCAAGUCCUGCUGUAAAUCAAAAUAUCAUCAAAGAAAACGAGGACGAAUCGGAGUAGAGCAGACCUGAAAAUAUCAUUCAUCAGGGCCUGAAAGGUAGUAGGGGCGUUGGUGAGGCCGAAAGGCAUCAUCAAGAACUCAUAGUGCCCAUCAUGAGUGCGAGAAGCUGUCUUUGGCACGUCCUCAGCUUUGACCCGGAUCUGGUGGUAACCGGAUCUUAAAUCCAAUUUGGUGAAGUAGAUGGCACCAUGUAACUCAUCCAACAACUUAUCAAUAACAAGUAUGGGAUACUGAUCCUUGAUGGUGAUGUUGUUCAAGGCUCGAUAAUCCACACAAAAUCUCCACGAUCUGUCUUUCUUUUUCACCAACAGAACUGGAGAAGAGUAAGGGCUCGUACUGGGCUUGAUAAUGCCAGUGUCCAACAUCUCACGCACUAUGCGCACGAUUUCUGUCUUCUGAACUUGUGGAUACCGGUGAGGUCUCACAUUGGACGGACCGGCCCUAGGCACAAUCUCAAUCCUGUGAUCAUGGGAGCGCAAGGGAGGCAACCCCCGUGGCUCCUCGAAAAUCCUACUAAAUUCCUUGAGCAAUGGAUCAAGAGGUGGUGCAUGCUCACCUGUACUUGGGUGCUCAUGCUCCGAUUGAGCCGCCAUCAUAAUGUACGCACUCGCCCCCUGAUGUAGUAGAUGCUGAAUGGAGUGCAAGGUGCCGGACAGUACUAGUGUCUUUGAAUCGCCCUCCAGGUAAUAUCGAGCUCCAUCCACCAUGAACUUCAUGGUGAGCUUAUCCUAGUCGCAUAACACGGGUCCCAAACUGCUUAACCACUGAAUGCCCAGGACAAUAUCUGAACCUUGAAGCCCCAAUGGGUACAUGUCAACUUGAAACUGAUACCCCUAUAUCUGUACUUUCAUUGCUCGACAUAUCUCUUUACAUGAUAGCCGGUUGCCAUCAGCCACCAUCACCAGGAAGGGUGGUGCAGGUGAUGUAACACAACUGAGCUUCUUCGCUAAACGAUCACUCACAAAAUUGUGAGUGUUGCCGUUGUCAAUCAAAAUGGAAACUUGUCGACUGUCCACUGUCCCGAAGAUAUGCAUGGUCUGUGGAGAAGAAAAUCCGGACAGCGCAUGUAUCGAUAUCUCUGGAGACUUGAGCGAGUCAUGUUCCUCUUCCGAUGCCUCUUCCUUGACUGCUGAUUCCCCUUCUACAUCCACAGGCACCUCUAAUAAAAACAAUUGUUGUGUCUUACAAACAUGGCCCGGAACGAAUCGCUCAUCACAGUUGUAGCAUAGGUUCUUCUCCCGUCGUGCCUGCAUCUGUUCCCACGUCAGCCUUUUAAAGCCCACGCCCGUAGGUGGUCGAGGAGGCCCCGGCGCUAGGGUUGGUCGAAUAGGUACAACGGGGUUGGCAUAUCGGGCCACAGGUGUAGGCACCAAAGGCCUAUGAGGAGGGGUAGGAAGGAGACCCAUUCGAGGUGAAUUCCUCCUAACCCGAAGCAUCUUCUCUUCAUACAGGCACGCGAGACCCACGGCGUGCGCCAUUGUGGUUGGCCUAAAAAGCUUCACCUCCAUCCGAAUGUCAUCCCGUAAACCGCCAAUGAAACUACCAAGAAGAGCUUCUUCCGGCCAGUUAUGAACUCUGGAAGCUAGGCGUUCAAACUGGUUCUGGUAUUCACGAACUGUCCCGGUUUGCUGAAGCUUGGCUAAUGCUUCAUCAAAAUUUCAUACUCGGACGGUCCAAAACGAACACAUAGAUCCCGAGUGAAUUCCUGCCAAGUGACUCGAGGACGAGAAGAGGAGUACCACUGGAACCAUUGUAGAGCUUCGUCUUGCAAGUGGAAGGAGGCCAAAAGGACCUUCUUCCUCCGAGGUUCCUUGGUAACGAAAAAAUUACUCCGCCUUGUAAAUCCACCCUGUCGGCUCCUCACCCGAGAGACGAGGAAAAUCAACUCUGGUAUAACGGGGCUGUAUGCUUCCAUUCUCCAGCGCGGCCAGGCAGGGUUGGCGAGGAUUGCGAUCCGGAGUCCUGGUGACCGAAUCAGCAGUCUUCUCUUGCAUGAGCAACGACAUGUUGGUGGCGAUCGUGUCGAGGUGUGAAUCAAUGGACUCGAACUGAUCGGCAUGCUUGAGAAACGUCAUGUGCAUGGUAUGCAUGUCGACUUCAAGCUUCGACAAUCGGUCUUCAUUAGAGGUGGAACGGGUGGUGGCCAUGCUAGGCUCUGAUACUAAGUUGAUAGGAUCUGAGAUCCCACCAAGACUUCUUAUGAGAAAGAAGAGAGAGUGAUGGAAAGAACGUGGGUUGGGAAGAAGAAGAGAAGAGGAUAGUUAAAAAGAAAUAUUCUCUGCCUUCAUAAGUAACAGGGAUAUGGCUUUAUAGCCUCACAUCCAACAUUGCACCAACUCACCUUGGCCAUAAUUAAAAGACAAUUAGAAACUGACAAAUGACAACUGGAAAAAGAACUGAUAACUCAACCCCUCAACUCCUAACAAUACGCGCACAUCCCACAAGACUCCUAACCAUAUGCGCACGUCUUGCAUGUCCCGUAUGCCUUGAGCACGUGCGCCAACCCGGAGGGCAUAACUCCCGCAUCCGGUCAGAGUAACGUCUUGAAGUUAAGGAUAGAAAAUCCCUCGCAUGGUAGAUUUUAUAGAAUCCUGUUAGUACAGAGGAUUGUGGAGGGCUCGGCGUUAUGAGUAUCUUAAGCGUUCCGUGAUAGUGGCGUUGAGUUCUUGAGGAGAACAUUACAGUUCUUUGGCUUCUGAAUUUGUGAGUCCCUUAAUACUUUUGUUAUUUAAUAGAAGUCUUUUAUUUCUCUCCAAUAUAAUUUUCUCUCACAAAUAUUUUUGUAUUUGGUGUUUGUUCUUCUAAUACUGGGCAUCGGAGAACCUCCUCCGUUCUUCAAAACGAAACCUUAAAAUCCCAAAAAAAAAUUCAAUGCAGCACCCCUACCACUGGACUGCCACCUAAAGCCGCACGAAUCGGAAGGCCUCGACCGCCCCCAGAUUCGCCAAGAGCAGUGACGGAUCGAAAUCCAUCAUCUCUCCAACAAAUUUGGAUCCGGAAAGAGAGACAAAUCGAGCAAGAGAGUAGUUACCGUUUGGGUCCGCUUCAUGGCGAACGUCUCCAAAACAAUACUUCGGUCUCCGCGGCGUCGGCGAGAGACGGCGUCGGCGCCAACCCUGCGCUGACGAUCGGGGGAGCUCUUCGAGCACAGUUCUUGGAAAUUCCUCUGGAAUCCGGGAAGAAGUGUUUCGGGUAGCGGAUCAAGCGCGCGACCUUCCAUCUCCACGGCUCGACGGGAGAAAAUCUAGGGUUUUCUCCGGGAGGCUGGUGGAGGAGACGGGAAGAGAGCUAAGAGAGAGAAAGAGAGGCGCAGAGAAGAAAGAAGAGAGGAGAGAUCCGGGCCAAGGAGAGCGAACGCUGCAAAAAAGCGGCGAGGAUAUCCUGGUGAUCUUCCCGUGGCGGAUUUCAAGAAGUGCCCAUAAGUAGCAACUAAAAAAAAGGCAGUUAUCCGUUAUUAAGUCUCUCCGGGCGUUCGUAAUCGAUCAGGAUCAGAAAUCCUCAUCCGCUGUUAGAAGCUUGUAAGGAUAUUUUCUGGCGAGCAAUUGAAUCCCGACACGUCAACCUGUUUGUAUGUACUCUUAUUGGGACAUACAGAGAUUCUGGGCCCAGCACGAUGGAUUCUGUUUGGAACAUUACAAACGGAUCGGCUGCCUAAAUUAUACUCAAUAAAUAAGUGGAUACCAGAGCACCUAAGUAUAGCUAUACUCAAUAAUGUACAAUAAGGAGAGCAAAUAAGGGGUUGGUAGAGCACAUUGGUAUAGCUAUACUCAAUAAUAUACAUUAAGGAUUUUUAAGGUACAUGCCAUACUCAUAUCAUACAGGAAUAUAAAAACUAAACUAAAUUAUACUUUAGGCACACAUAGAAAUGCUCUUAAAAUUCAUACUAUUUUGUCUAGAUUACAAGGAUAUGCAACAGAUAAAUAUUCCUCCAUCAAUGUGUUUCACUAGGUUUGAGUUUAAAGGGUUAUCUAGAUUGUUUGUACUUUUCAUAUAUGGUUUUCCUUCAGAAUUAGUGCCUUUGCCUUUUUGUUGUGCCAAACUAGUUAGGAUUUCAAUUGAACAGAUGGAGAUAACAAUCUGAUUGAUGUAUAGAGCUAACAAGAGGGAGCCACAUCUAUUUUCAUAUGCCGACAAAAUCAUAAGGGCAUUGCAACAAGAUAUGCCUUGUUGGUGGGUGAUACCUAAUAGGUGCACCGAUGCACAAAAGCAUCUCGGGUUUGCUUCAUUGACCAUGCCAAUAAUCUAAAUCCAUGCAGCGGAAGAUCCUCUUAAACGAAGGUAUUUGUGCUUUUGGAUGGCGGCUCAUGAUUAGUCUUAUAAAAAUCUUAUAUUUCCUAAGGAGGUUUUAUCUCGUGGAAACACUCUUCAAUGGAACUUUAGCUUUAGCUGGUCGUAACUAAGAAACAUUAGUUUUUGCUUGGUGGGUCGAAAAUGCCAGACAUAUCUAUUUGUUCAAUAAACUAUUUGGAGCUCAUGUUGCCCAUGCCAAAUUAAUAGUAUUCUGGGCUGGAGCAAUGAACCUAUUUGAAGUAGCUCAUUUUAUAUAAGAGAUGGGAGGCUCAUUACUUCAAUUGAGAUAAUAAAAAAUUAUUUUAUUUUUUAAUUUUAGUCAGAACCUUAGGCGGUUCUCGAAAAAAGAUAGUAAAAAAAACUAUCUCUAAAAUCAAGACUAAACGGAAUAUAGAAACCAAUGCUUCCAUAGAUUCGAUCGUAGUAUACGGACAUGCAACAGAGCUCAAUUUUGUAUAGGAUGCACAGAAAUACUUGUGGGCACCUUGUCUAAGGUUCAUGUUGCCCAAUCCAAAAAUAGAUGUGAACCACUAAUCUUGUGCCCCUAUAGAUUCUCAACUGGCACCUUCAAGAUGUUUCAGAUAAUUUAUUUAACUCAGUCCCUAGACCAUCCAUAGAUGAAGACUCUUAUCAUAAAAGCAAGGGCUAGCAAAUUAGAUAGGAAGAAUGGCCAAAUAUUCUCCUCUCCAUUCCUACAUUCCUCUGCAUGCUGGUGGUCCCUUCAUAAAAUCAAUUGUUCCUGAAAACAUUAUCUCCAAAGCGGGAGAGAAUAGAUUCCAUCUUUCACCACCAGCAGUAACCAUCGAACAGUCGUAUGGAAAGAGCUCAGAAGCAUAUCGGAAUGUUGUGCCGGGGAUACAGGGAGUGCACAAAUCAUCUGUACCCAGUGGGACAGCACACAGGCUGUUUGAAACCAUAUACGUUCGAUCCAUGAACCCUGAUGUCUUCCUUAUGUUUGCAUGUCAAGUGCCCAUUUACGGAGUAGGCUGUUUGCUGACCAAGAAAACGGAUGUCAGAGGAAAGCAGCAUGCCAUGAUUCCUUGCCUCCUUGUCCUCGUGCGAGUUGAAAGGAGGGUACGACUCCGACGCUGUUCAAGCCCUUUGUGGUGCACCAUGAAGUAACAUGUCACCAGAGCUUAAAAGGAUCAAUGCAAAGAACCUCGGAAAGAUGGGGUUUGAUUUUCUUUUAUUUGGAUGGUGGUCUGAUCACUAAGGAAGGAACUAGUUUAGCUUAGAUUUAAGGAGCACCGAAGUAUCGACAAUCGGCAAGAAAAUGCAACCUCCGACUUGAUGACACUGGAUGAGUUGGCGAACGGCUGGUGGGCGGUUUUUGUCCAGAUUGAUCUGCUCGUAGAUAAAAAUCCAACCUACAAAUAGGAGAGAAAAUAUUGAAGGUUGUUGGACUUGAUCUGACGGGAGAUUCUCCAAUGCCCAAGUGAGAUCGAGUUAUGAGGAAUAACAGAAAUAUGAGAGAGCUAGUAGAGUAAAGUAAGAGAGAAAAAAGAUGUAUCUCGAGGUUCUCCAAGUCUUGGAAAAAAGGGCAUAGCUCUGUGGCUUGAAAAGAGUGGGUGGACGUACAAUAAUUACCUAAAUGUAAAGUAACUGUUCAAUACGUAGGACGACCUGUAACCAUCCUGUAAUAUGCCUCAUGAAUGCACAAGAUUGUAAUCGCCCCUCUCAAUAGGCUUUAAUCACCUUCAAUAUUCUUUCAAUCAGGAAUAUGUGGCCCAUUGUUACUGGUCGGCUCGCUUGAUCAUCAUUAUUGUUUGGCUGGUCUAGUUAGUCACAAACUGAUGAAUCUAGGCCACAUUAAAUGACAACAUUUGAUGUUUUUGCAAUUUCUUAUAGGAUGGUAACAUUGGCAAUCAUUUUAACCUUAGAAUAAUUGGCAUAGCUACCCCCAACUUCUGCCAUUUAGCAUUCCUAAUACAUCCUGGUAAAAUUAAUUUCUCAACCAAUGCAAAGAUCAGGUAGAUGUUGAUUGUUGACACACUAAACUUUUUUAUUAAUUUUUUUAUUUUGAAAUUACCACUUUAUGAUCAAUCAUAAUUAAGAUCGAUAUUAGAUGUUCAGAUUCUCCUCAUACCUCAAGCGAGAGAGCUCAUAAUUUGCUAAGACAUUAAUAUAAAAAAUAAAAAAGAAGAAGAGUGAAAAAUGAAUGAACAUUGAUGAGGUCAGGGUUUUCAGGCCAUGCCUCCGACCUCGUCCCCACCAAACUGGAGCAACAGAACGGCUGCAUCCCUUGCGAGGUAUUAUCCACUGCGGUUAAUUACGCGCCCCGAGACGGUUUUGCUCCACAAAAGGCAUCUCGCAAUGGAAAGGAUUUCCCCCUCCAUUUAAGGCACAGACCUUUCCGCUACUUAGUCGAUGUAGGACUAAGUCCGAGAUCCUUUAUUCCCAUAACAUCAACCUCCCCAGCGGGAAGGUCUGUGUUGGGGUCAAGAGCCCCUACCUGGCGCGCCAAUGAUGAGGUCAGGGUUUUCAGGCCCUGCCUUCGACCUCGUCCCCAUCGAACUGGAGCAGCAGAAUGACGGCUUCCCUUGCGAGGUAUUGUCCACUUUGGGGUUACUUACGCAACCCGAGACAGUUUUGCCCUACAAAAAGCGCCUCACAAGGAAAAGAAUUUUUCCCUCUAUUUAAGGCACAGACUUUUCCGCUAUUCAGUCGAUGUGGGACUAAGUUCGAGACCCUUUAUUCCUACAACAAACAUAAUUAAUAGUGUUUGUGAUACAAGAUAAAUGCAAAUAAAAGAAUUAAUUAUGAAAUGAAAGGAUGAGCAUAUAAUUUUUGCUGUUCCAAGGAUGGCCAAUUCUGUCACCCAAAUCUCAUAUAGAAGAGGAGUAACUCGACUUUUUUGCUUGUAAGCGAGACUUGAGCUAGUUUAAUGCUGGUAGAAAGACAUAUGCCACCAACUUCAUGAGUUACUUGAACUCAAACAUAUAGGAAGAGAUUGACCCUCACUUUAUGGACUCCUCGAUCUUUGUGAGUGAGCAAGUGGAACCUCCAGCUUGUAGGAACCUUAACAUCCAUACAGAAGUAGGUUGAACCUUCAUUUUAGUUCACUUGACAACUAUAUGAGAGCGGAUUGAACUUUCUCUAUUUGGGUAGAAUUGGAGCCAUAUCUAUUGAUGGUUGGAAAAAUCUUUCAAGAAAGGUUUUGGAUCCUUGAAUUCUAGAAAGGGAUGGUCAGACCAAGUGUUUUAUAGGAUUGCAAGAUAGAAGACAUCGAUGCCUAAAAAAGUAUUGUAGUGGUGAGACAUGUUAGCUAUAGAAAAUAGAUUUUCUUUUCCUUUUAUCAUCCAGAUUGGAUGUUAUUACUUGUAGUUUAUUACAUAAAUAACUCCUUUUUGGAUGAUUUUCUUGUAAAUAACCAUCUUAUAUCUAGAAAACUUCCUUUAAGAAGCUAAUUUUAAUAGCAAACCAUCCAUACAUAGCCUCUUGCUUGGAUAACCAGUAGUAGAAUAUAAACCUUUAGAGUAUCAAAAUAUAAAUUAUUUUAAUUGAAUCUUGAUCAGUUUAAUAUGUGUAACCAUUUACUAUAGUGUUUUGAGUCUACACAUUGCCCCGUGGAACUUGAUAAAAAUGGAUAUUUUUGUUGAUCCGAAUAAAUAUAAGUCGAUACUCAAUUGUUAACCUUCCCGUAGGACCUUCAUGUCAAUCAUAAUUAUACGUUUGGAUUGAUCAAUUUUAAACAUCAUAACAUAUAGUCCAUUGAGCAAGUUUGUCGACCAUGACAUAGACCAUAAUUUUAAAUUCAAAUAAACAUUGACCAUACAUUCAAACAGAUCAAUCAUUUGUAUCAAUGAUCAUAUUUUUAAAUAAAUAUAUCAUACUUAUUGACCAUAAUAGUGGCCAAUUGUAAAUCAUACUGAUCAGUCAUAACAAUUGCCAUAGACUUGAAUUGGUUGAUCAUCAUCAUAGUUACAGCAACGGUCGUACUGUUAAAUAGGUCAAUCAUACUUAUCGAUCAUGAUAAUAGUCAUGGUUUUGAAAAGACUGAUCAUGCAAAUCGAUCAUAAUAAUGGCUAUAGUUUCAAAUUGGUCAAUCAUUUCGAUCAACCAUGAUAGUAAACAUAUUGUUGAAUAGACUAAUCUUAUUUAUUAAUCAUGAUAAUACUCAUAAUUAAGCAGAUCAUUCACACUUAUCAACCAUGAUUAUUUUUAUCAACCAUGUAUUUAAUUAUGUUAUUGAUCAACAUAAAACUUUUACACUCUAUGUCCACAAGUGUUACUUUUUGCUGGCUUUUUCCAAUCAAUUUAAAUAAUGUUCCCCAAAUAUUUCGGUAUCCAAAUUGACUGGCUCUUCUAAGCCAAUGAUUCGCCAUAGAUUUAAAAUUAAAGGGGCAUAUGAAAUAAUCAUUCCUAGCCUAAAUAUAUGGUCUAUUUUUAAAUGAAUUGACCAUAUCCUUUGAAUAACCAAGCAAUUAGCUUUUCUAAGUCAAUUAUAAUGAUACCCCCUAAGUUUAUGAUCAAAAGAGUACAUGUAAUAAUCACUCAGCUGCAUGCACAAGCUAUCAAAUUCCCUCUUAAAAUGCAUCCAUAAAUGGUAUCACUCGGCCUCCGGUAAAUGUACCAAAAAUGUUUUCAUAUUUUAAAAUUCCCUCUUCAUUAUUGAUCAUAACCAAGAUUGACCUGAGAUGUCAAAAUUCUUUAUCAUGUCUCAAGUAAGAAGGUUGAGUGAAUUAAUAAUUAAUAAUGAUUACGAUAUAACAUAAACAGGAAUUAAAAAAUUAAUCAUGAAAAGAAGAGCAUAAAUAUCAUCUCCAUUUCUCCAAGGACAACCAACUUUGUCACUUGAACCUCACAUGGAAGGAGGAGAGUCGACUUCUUUACUUGUUGAUGAGACUAGAGCCGCUUCUUUGAUGGUAUAAUAGCAUCCACUAUCAAUAUUGUGAGUUACUCAAACUCUAUGCAUGGGAAGAUUGACCCUCCACUUCAUAGAUCUCUCAAAUUCCAUAAGCAAGCAAAUUAAACCUCCAGACUGCAUGAUUCUUGUCAGCAUCCAUCCUAAAAUAGAUUGAACAUUCACUCUAGGACAUUCAAUGCAUGCCCAAGUAAGAGCGGAUGAACUUUCAUUCUUCGGGUAGAAUUAGAGCUGCAUUCGUUGAUGAUUAGAAGAUCCUUCUACUAUUAAGACAUGCGGCACAUGCUUUGGAACAUAGAAUCUAGCAGGGGGUCAUCAGAUCAAAUGUUUCAUAGGAUUGUUAGAUGGAAGACGGUCGACACUUGAUAGAAGUGUUGUAGUGUUGAAUUGUGGAUGUUAUUUUCAGCAAAAACAUUUUUAGGAGGUAGUUUCUUGUCUGAUAACUCUAGUGAUUACCAACAGUUUUUUUACAUAUAUAACCUUUUCUUGCAAAUAACUAUCCUAUAUCCUGAUAAUUUCAUUUAGAAAGUUAACUUCAUUGGUGAACCAAUCAUAUACAGCCUCUUUGUCAGUAACAAGUGGCCAAACAUGAGCCUUUUUGAAGUAUCGAAACAUAAAUUAUUAACUAAAUCUUGAUCGGUCUCUAUAUUUUUGAUCAUUUACUAUAGUUGGUAGAUUGCCGAAUAAUUUUUGGAUGCAAACGUUCAUGGCAUCUGUUUGCUGUGGCUAUAGCUGGCUAACCUUUCGAUAUGAGAAUUCUUAUUGUUGGAUGCUGAAGAAAAGCACAUAAUUGCAUCAUCAAUCGUCUAAUGCCUUCAAAGAUAAGGUUGAUCUGUUUUGUAAACAUCUGUAAAUAGGAUCAUAAAACAACCAUGAAGGGUGGCGUACCUGGAUCCAUGGAUUUUCUGAAUGAUCAAGCUUCGUUUCUCCCUCUUGGCCACUGUUCAAACACCCAGUGAUGGAUUCCGAUUUUUGUGUUCACGUUAUGGGCAGAGAGUGAGACCCCUUCAAAUAUCCUACCAUCAAGGAUAUUAUGCUUUCACUUCUCUAGGAGUUAGUUAUGGUAAUAAUCCUAUAACUGACCAUGUUAUGGUCAUGUGGGUCAAAACCCAACAUUCUCCCACUUGGCCCAUAUAACCAUACUUUGGUUAGAAUGAUAUAAACAUUAGGUGCGCAUCAUUCUAAUCCACGGUCAAUUGGGUUAUCAUAAUACUAUAAUUAAACAACUUACUAAUGCGAGUCAAGGCGGUUCCAUAUCAACAUAAUGACAUAGUUCCUUCCAAGUACUACAACACUAGCAAAUUAUUUAACCAUAGUCCAUAAAUGAGAAGUUUCUAUAAUGGUCAAACAUUAUGUCUUUAUCAGAGAUAAUUCCUGUGAUCAUACAUUCAAACUCAUACAUGUACAUAUAUUUGAAGAACAAAAAAAUCAGAAACAUAAUUAAUUAUAUCUAAGUGUGAAGAAAUAAACAUAAUACAAUCCUCAAUUAAUAUCAUGGAUUACAACUAAGACCCAUUCUUUCAACAUGCUCUUUAAAAGUCUUCGGUUGUAAACCUUUUGUCAAAGGAUCUGCAAUUAUGAGCUCUGUCCUCAUAUUUACUAUAGACACAUUUUGUUUCUAAACUUCCUCCUUGACAACGAAAAAUUUAAGCUCAAUGUGCUUGGCACCAUUAGAAUAUUUGUCGUUUCUGGAGAAAUAGACGCUGCAGUAUUGUCACAAAAGAUUCUCAGCGGCCUGGCAAUAGAGUUGACAAUCCCAAACCCCGAGAUGAAGUUAUGUAGCCACAAACUAUGAACCGUAGCCUCAAAGCAUGCCACAAAUUCUGCUUCCAUGGUGGGCGAAGCAGUGCUUGUCUGUUUGGCACUUUUUCAUGAGAUUGCUCCUCCAGCUAAUAGGAACAAAUAGCCAAACGAUGACUUUCUACUAUCCACACAUCUAGCAAAGUCCGAAUCCGAAUAGCCAAUUAUCUCAAGGCUAUCUGACUUUCUAUAUGUAAGCAUGUAAUUCUUUGUUCCUUGCAAGUAUCUCAUUACCUUCUUUGCAGCUUUUCAGUGAUCCAUCCCUGGAUUACUUUGGUAUCUGCCUAGCAUUCCAACUGCAAAACUGAUAUCUAGUCUAGUACAGAUCCGAGCAUACAUCAAGCUACCAACCGCAGAAGCAUAAGGUAUAUUUUUCAUCUGCUUACGUUCCAAUUCAUUCUGUGGGCAUUGCAUGAGACUAAAUUUAUCUUCUUUCUAAAUUGGAACAACAAUGGCUGAACAGUUCUCCAUACCAAAUCUCUCUAGAACUUUAUCUAUAUAUGCCUUUUGAGACAACCCUAACAAUUCACGUGAUCGAUCACGAAAUAUUUCAAUGCCUAUCACGUAGUUGCCUCAUUCAUAUCUUUCAUUUCAAAGUUCUUUGAGAGAAAAAUCUUAGUUUCAUAUAAUAAGCCAAGAUCACUACUGGCAAGCAAUAUAUCAUCAACAUAUAGAACUAGAAAGAUAAACUUGCUCCCAUUGACCUUCAGGUUUAUACACCGAUCAACAAUGUUUUUCUUAAAACCGAAGGAAGUGAUGGUAUCAUUGAACUUGCGAUACCAUUGUCGGAAAGCUUGUUUAAGACCAUAUAUUGACUUCUUUAAUUUGCAAACCAUGUGUUCUUUUUCUUUUAAUGAAAAACCUUCGGGCUGGUCCAUAUAGACUUCUUCAUCUAAACUCCAAUUCAGAAAAGCAGUUUUCACGUCAAUUUGGUACAACUCUAAAUCAUAAUGUGCAACCAAAGCCAUAAUGAUUCUAAAUUAGUCCCUUUUAGAUAGAGGAGAAAAGGACUUUUUAUAAUCAAUGCCUCCUUUCUGAGUGAAAUCUUUGGCCACUAGUCUGGUUUUAUGUCGUUCAACAUUGCCCUUUGAAUCGAGCUUGGUCUUAAAGACCCACUUACACCCAACUGUCUUAUAACCUUCGGGCAAAUCAACGACAUCCCAGACUUAAUUCUGAUCUAUUGAUUUUAACUCAUCUUUCAUGGCAUCAAUCCAUUUAGUAGAAUCAAUACUUUCUAUGGCUUGUUUAAAAGAAACCGGAUCUUUUCUUGUCCCUAUAUCAAAAUCAAAUUCUUGUAGAUAAACCAUAUAAUCAUUUAGAAAGGCAGAUCUUCUUUCUCUUUGAGAUCUCCUUAAUGUCAUCCCUUGUGGUUCUUCUACAACUUGUUCAGUGGUGAUAACUUCAUUAUGGAGUAUUUGGUCAUUAAUUUGUUGUUCAUUGUUAUUAAACUGUGACAACUGUAGGAACAACAAUUUUCUUAGAAGUCAUAGGUAAAGGGACUUGCACUCUAACUUCUUGAAUUUUCACAUUUUGUGGUUUAUCACUCCCACUGGUUUUACCAUUUUUAAUGAAUUUGACAUUACCGGUCUCUAUAAUUCUCGUACUAUGGUUAGGACAGUAAAUCCUAUACCCUUUGAAUUUUUCGGGAUAACCUAUAAAGUAUCCACUAAUCAUUCUAAAAUCCAAUUUCUUUUCAUGUGGAUUAUAAAUUCUCACCUCUGCUGGACAAUCCCAAACAUGCAGGUGUCUUAAACUCGGUUUCCUUCUUGUCCAUAACAAAAGGAAUUUUUGGAGCUGCCUUACUAGAAACCCGGUUUAAUAUGUAUACAGCGGUCUUAAGGGCUUCCAUCCACAACGAUAUGGGCAAUGAAAAAUUACUCAACAUACUCCUAACCAUAUCCAUAAGUGUAUGAUUACGCCUUUCAGCUACUCUAUUCUGCUGUGGCAUUCCCGACAUAGUGUAUUGAGCACGUAUACUGUUCGUCCGAUUUCUGUUCACCUAAAAAUAUGCUAAACUAAUCAUUGUUAGAACCGACAAAUAAAUUUUAAUUUAAUUUUACUCUUACCUUUCCUACUCGAAGAAUAGCGGUUGUAAGAGGUCGAUCCACAGGGAAGCGAUUGGAGUUGCAUAAAAAUUAGAACGUUCACUCGGAUUUGAAAUUGAUUUUUGAAUGAUAAAAGGAAAACAUUAUUUUAAGGAUGUUGAUGGAUUCUCUAGUCUACCGGAGAAUGUUUUCUAUUUGAAAAUAAACAAAGAAAAGAAAGAAAACUUGCAAUUAAAAUUUGAUGCGGAGUAGAAGUCGAUUUCUAAAGAUAGAAUAUAAAUUAAAAUCGUCAAUCGAACUGCAAAGAUUUAUUCCAAGGUUAUCUUAAAAUUAAGAAUUCUAGAAUGCAUAUAAUAAAUUAUAAAAUAUUAAAUUAACACUUAGACAUGUAUUGCAUAAAAGAAAAAUUAAAAGAUUGCAUAAAAAAAUAGAAAUUAAACUGAACCUAGACCAUGGAUUGCAUGAAAGAAAAUUGAUUGAUUUCAUAAAAAGGAAUGAUUCAAAAAGUAAAGAAAAAUUGAAGAUGAAGCCUAAAGCUUAUUUCUUCUGCAAAUUAAAAUAAAAUAAAAUAAAAUAAAAUUUCAUUUUCUCUCCCUUUCUCUCCAUUUCUCUCCCACGGUAGAACUCAACAUAAGAUAUAAUUUUUUUAUUCCUUUCUCCCCCCCAAGAACAGAGCAAUGCUCUGUUUUCCUUCUCUUUUCUUUGGACCCGCCGGCCACCACCUCCGCCUUGGGCCAGCCGACUACCCUCCUCUUAUAGCCCUUGGAGAUGCGUUGGGGACGAGCUGGCAGCACGGUGAUUGUGGAGCGUUGGGAUUUCGGGAGAAUCACGGGCGGAAGGGAUGUUGCAAAUGGGAUCCGCUGGCUGGAGAAGAAACGGAAGGAGGGAGAGGGCGGACGCUGAGGACGUUGAUCCGAAAAGGAGGAAAUGCGGGAUGCUGUCGCGGAAGGAAGGAGGCGCGCGUGGAGGCAGAGGGCGUCAAUCCAUGGGAUUACGGGCUGCAUUUGAAAUGGGCGGAAGAAAUGGCUGAAAAAUUGCUCGGGAUCCUUGGAUGCUUGAGCUCACGGGAGAGGCGGACACUGAGAGGAGGUGUUGAUGAAGCGGAAGGAGGGAUCUGCGGGAUGAAUGCUUCACAGAUGGAAGCUGGGAGGAGGCGAUCACACGCGGACUCGGUUGGAUGUCAUUCACGGACGCGUGAUGCAGGGGCGGGCGUGGGACUGCUGGGAGGAAUCUUGGAGGAGGCGGACUCGGACGAGCGCGUGAGCUUCGUGGGAUGCUAGGAGGAGCUGAUCUGCCGUGGAUCCGGGAAGAGUUGGAGGUGUCGUGGACGGCGGGAUGGCAGUGGGAGAAGGAAAUGAGANNNNNNNNNNNNNNNNNNNNNNNNNNNNNNNNNNNNNNNNNNNNNNNNNNNNNNNNNNNNNNNNNNNNNNNNNNNNNNNNNNNNNNNNNNNNNNNNNNNNNNNNNNNNNNNNNNNNNNNNNNNNNNNNNNNNNNNNNNNNNNNNNNNNNNNNNNNNNNNNNNNNNNNNNNNNNNNNNNNNNNNNNNNNNNNNNNNNNNNNNNNNNNNNNNNNNNNNNNNNNNNNNNNNNNNNNNNNNNNNNNNNNNNNNNNNNNNNNNNNNNNNNNNNNNNNNNNNNNNNNNNNNNNNNNNNNNNNNNNNNNNNUCCUAGUGGAUGAGUGUUGUCUCUUGAGGGUUUGCAGUGAAGUUACCCACAAACUUCAUCAGUCAGAAAUUUCCAAUUUUUAACUCAAAAUUUGAACAAGUAUUACUGUAUGAACUUAGAAUUGCAAGGACAAUAAAGACUUAUUGCUAUCAUAUUUAAGCAGACUCUAACUCAAGUUCCAUUACUCCCAUCUAUCUGCUAACAAGUCAAGAAUGUAGUGAGGUGCAAGAUAGUAUCAUAUAAAUGAGUGGCUUUUACUUACUUCCACAUGAUCACUCUAAUUUUCAAGACUUUCUAGAGUUAAAUGGUAAUGAACACCCCAGAUUUAUUUAUUUAUUUAUUUUUUUCAGAUUGAAUGCUAAGAAGAAUGACUUGUGCAAUAUCUAGCCUUAUUAAGCAUUUUAGCUGACCUAUAUAGCGAGUGUUAGGCCAAUGACUCCCGAUCCAGAUGGCACAGGGCACUAGGUGUAGAGACACCCUAACAGGCUUAAUAACUCAAGUUAACUAGGCUUUAAGGCCAAAUUAAUCACUCAGAGUUUAAUCUCAAUCAUCCUCACCUUUUUACGCGAACACUCGCUGCUUGCCAGGCAAGAGGCCCGGUUACUCAGUGAGAAGACUUAAAAUAAACUCAUUAUUUUAUUUUAUUUUCUCUCUCUUUUUUUUUUAGGGUGUUCAUCACACAUAUAACUUUAAAUUAUCCUGAAGAUUAAAAGUAUUCAUAUUAGUUGCAAGUAUACGUACCCCACUAUUCAUAUGUUUACGUGUAGGUGCUAAAUCAUCUUGUAUCAUGGUAGCAGAAGAUAAGUGGGACGAAAACUCAAGCUAGAACUGCUAUCAUAUUUCUUAACUCAAAGCUAUUGUCAAAGCAAUUCCUAGUUUGUACAGCCAAAAAGAUUAGAGUUUGAGUUAAAAAUUUGAAAUCUCUUUUUUUCUAAUUUUAAUUUUUUUUAAUUGCAUAGAAAAAUAAAAAAUCAAAAAUAUUCUUAUCUCCAUACCUAAAUCUAACAUUGUCCUCAAUGUUAAAAAAGAUUUAAAGCAGUAAUAGGACAGAGGAGAAGUUACCUGAUAUGGGUGGGUAAAUUGAAAAUUGGGGCAAAAUACCCCCAAACCUACAUGUUAGUAAUUUUUUUUAUUUUUUUUAAUAAUAUUUAUAUGUUGGGUUGCCUCCCAAAGAGCGCUAAGUUUUAUGUCUUCAGCCAGAUAAUUCUAAUUCAUUUAUGAUAAACAGGGUCGGUCAGAAGUGUCUCCUCGACUUCUGGACUCAAAUACUCAAGGUAUGGUUUUAAACGAUGUCCAUUAACUUGAAACGACCUACCAUCUUUAGUAUUGCAUAUUACUACCGCACCAUGCGGAUGCACUUUCUCUACCGUGUAUGGGCCAAUCCAGCGAGAUUUAAGUUUUCCAGGGAAUAGAUGUAAUCGAGAAUCAUAUAAGAGAACUUUUUGUCCUUGGUGAAACUCUUUACGAGUAAUCAUUUUAUCAUGCAUGACUUUCAUGCGAUCCUUGUACUUCUUAACACACUCGUAAGCAUCGUUCCUAAUUUCUUCAAGCUCGUCGAGCUGAAGCUUUUUAUGUUCUCCUGCCUUGUCGAGAUCGAAAUUUAGGCGUUUGAUUGCCCAAUACGCCUUGUGUUCUAACUCGACAGGUAAAUGGCAAGCCUUGCUAUAGACAAUCCUAUAUGGGGACAUUCCAAUUGGUGUUUUGUAGGCCGUUCGAUAUGCCCACAAUGCAUCUGUUAACCUAAGGGACCAAUCCUUUCGAGAUGGAUUGACAGUUUUUUCAAGGAUGGUCUUAAUUUUUCUGUUGGAAAUCUCAACUUGUCUACUUGUUUGUGGAUGAUAUGGUGUACCGACCUUGUGGGUGAUGUUGUACUUCCUAGCAAGGGCUUUAUAAAUUCUAUUGCAAAAAUGUUUCCCCCCAUUACUAAUGAUAGCCCAAGGGGUGCCAAAGCGAGCGAAGACAGACUCCUUAAGAAACUUGAUCACUACUUUAUGAUCAUUGGUCUUACAUGCGACAGCCUCAAUCCACUUGGACACAUAGUCAACAGCUAGGAGUAUGUACUGGUGCCCAAAUGACAUAGGAAAAAGACCCAUAAAAUCAAUACCCCAAACAUCAAAGAUUUCUACAAUUAAGAUCGAGUUCAGAGGCAUCUUAUUUUUUUAAAAAAUUUUUUCUAGUCUUUGACAUCGGUCACAUGAUUUGCAAUACUCGUGUGAGUCAUGAAAUAGUGUGGGCCAAUAGAAUCUGCACUGCAAAACCUUUGCAGCCGUCUUUUUACCACUGAAAUGACCACCACAAGCGUGGUCAUGAUAAAAGGAAAGGACUUUCCUUUGCUCGUAUUCAGGGAUGCACCGUCGGAUGAUCUGAUCAGGGCAAUAUUUAAAUAGGUAUGGUUUAUCCCAAAAAUACCACUUUACACGAGCUAGGAAGCGGAAUUUCUCUUGUUUGGUCCAUGAACUGGGCAUUCGUUCAGUAACUAGAUAGUUGACUACAUCAGCAUACUAUGGAACAUUGGUAUGGGAAAUCAUCAUUAAUUGUUCAUCAGGGAAGGUCUCGGACACAGGCAUGGAUUCUCCAGAUGAUUCAACAAUUAAUCUGGACAAGUGGUCAGCUACAACAUUUUCAGAUCCCUUUUUAUCUCGUAUUUCAAGAUCAAAUUCUUGAAGCAAUAGGAUCCAACGAAUGAGUCUUGCCUUGGCAUCCUUCUUUGUAAGAAGGUACUUAAGGGCAGCAUGAUCAGAAUAAAUGAGGACCUUGGAUNNNNNNNNNNNNNNNNNNNNNNNNNNNNNNNNNNNNNNNNNNNNNNNNNNNNNNNNNNNNNNNNNNNNNNNNNNNNNNNNNNNNNNNNNNNNNNNNNNNNNNNNNNNNNNNNNNNNNNNNNNNNNNNNNNNNNNNNNNNNNNNNNNNNNNNNNNNNNNNNNNNNNNNNNNNNNNNNNNNNNNNNNNNNNNNNNNNNNNNNNNNNNNNNNNNCUCCUUAUGAUGGGUGCUGAAGUUAGUUCAGACUUUAGUCUUUCGAAAGCAGUUAUACAAAUUGACGAAAAAUUAAAAGUAGCAUCUUUCGCCAACAAAUCGCAUAAGGGUUUCGACAAUUUACUGAAAUCCUUGAUAAAGCGGCGGUAAAAACCCGCAUGCCCUAAAAAAGAUCUGACUUCCCUAACAGUUUUGGGAGGUGGCAAUUUAGCAAUUAAUUCUACUUUGGCCUUAUCCACCUCAAUUCCCCUUUGUGACACAAUGUGUCCUAAAACAAUACCUGAUUCUACCAUGAAAUGACACUUUUCCCAGUUAAGAACUAAGUUUUUCUGUUUACAGCGUUCUACAACAAGUGUCAAGUGGUGUAGACAUUCCUCAAAAUUGGAUCCAAAUACAAAAAAAUCAUCUAUGAAAACUUCUAAAAAUUUCUCCACCAUGUCGGAGAAAAUACUCAUCAUACACCGUUGGAAUGUAGCUGGUGCAUUACAUAGCCCAAAAGGCAUGCGACGAUAGGCAAAAGUGCCAUAAGGACAGGUGAAUGUGGUUUUCUCUUGAUCCUCACGUGCGAUAGGGACUUGGUUAUAUCCAGAAUAACCAUCGAGGAAACAGUAAUGGGAGUGGCCAGCUAGCCGUUCGAGCAUUUGAUCGAUGAAGGGUAGAGAAAAGUGGUCUUUCCUAGUCAUGGCAUUAAGCUUCCUAUAGUCGAUGCAUACUCGCCAUCCCGUUUGGACUCGAGUAGGGACUAACUCAUUGUGAUCAUUUUUCACCACAGUGAUGCCAGACUUUUUAGGUACGACUUGAACUGGGCUUACCCACUGACUAUCAGAAAUAGGAUAUAUAAUUUCUGCAUCUAAAAGCUUGAUGACCUCGGCUCGAACUACGUCCUUCAUGAUUGGAUUAAGUUGCCUUUGUGGUUCUCUAGAAAUUUUUGCAUCUUCUUCUAGAUGGAUUUUAUGUUGGACCACAGAAGGACUAAUCCCCUUAAUAUCAGCUAUAGACCAACCGAUAGCUUCCUGAUUCUUCCGAAGGAUACUUAACAGCUUCUCUUUCNNNNNNNNNNNNNNNNNNNNNNNNNNNNNNNNNNNNNNNNNNNNNNNNNNNNNNNNNNNNNNNNNNNNNNNNNNNNNNNNNNNNNNNNNNNNNNNNNNNNNNNNNNNNNNNCAUUGGAUGACACUAGCUGAGAUUCCGAAAUAGGCAAUGAUUCAAACUUGGUGGCCUAUCUGCUAGUAUCCAUCACAGGAAUGGAAUCUAACAAUGCAUUAACCUCUUGACUUGACUCACAAUCUUGACCAAAAUUAGCCAAACAUCUUUCUCAUGGGUCAGAAUAACUCGACUCUUCAAAAGAACUGCUAAUUAUAUUCUCAAUCAUGUGAAUUUCUUCCAAAUUGUCCAUCUCAGUUGACUGACUACUAUUAUGAAAAACNNNNNNNNNNNNNNNNNNNNNNNNNNNNNNNNNNNNNNNNNNNNNNNNNNNNNNNNNNNNNNNNNNNNNNNNNNNNNNNNNNNNNNNNNNNNNNNNNNNAUCGGGAUGUGACUUUCUGGAUUUUUUACUGGUUCAGUUUCAAGGAUUACAAAAUCCACAGGGUAGUAGAACUUAUUAACUUUUACAAUCACAUCCUCCAUAAUUUCUUUGGGGUACUUUACAGUCCUAUCUGCUAACGAAAGAGUGAUGUUUGUGGGUUUUAAUUCUCCCAAACCUAACUCUGUGUAAAUAGAAUAGGGUAACAGGUUCACACUAGCUCCUAAAUCUAGGAGAGCUCUUUGAAUGAUGGUUUCUCCUAUUUUAAUUUUAACAGUGGGGCAACCAGGGUCCUUGUAUUUUGGGACAAUCUGUUGUUGAAUAAGAGAUGAGGCUUGUGCCACCAUCACAGCUUGCCUAGGAAUACUGGUUUUCCUUUUCACCGUGGUUAGGUCUUUUAAGAAUUUUGUGUAGGAGGGGAUCUGUCUGAUGACAUCUAGGAAGGAUAAAUUUAUUUGGACAUUUUUAAAGACUUUCAUGAUUUCAUCGUACUGAGAUUUUUUCUUUGAGUCUUGUAGUCUACUAGGAAAGGGAGCCUUAGGUGUGUACGUCUCUAUUGGUUUCUCCUCUAUUCCUUGUGUUCCCUAUUCUUGUGCCUUUUUCUGAGUGGGGUUCGGUUCAUGCUUUUCUUCUUUUUCUUGUACAGGAAGUUGGACUUUGUUGUCCACUUGCUUGCCAGACCGUAAAGUGGUAAUUGUCUGGACUUCAUGGGUAGGGUUUCCAUUAGAAUCAAUCUGAAACUGGCCUCUUGGCCCUUGAUUCUGUUGCCUACUAGGGUUAGGCACUGGCUGACUGGGCAAUUCACCUCUCUUCCUAUCCCCUAAAGAGUUAGCUAUUUGGCUCAGACUAACCUUAAGUUUUGCAAUCGCUUGCGCAUGGAAUUGGUUAGUCUGGGUUUGAACCAUGUUGGUCUGUUGUUGCUGUUGGAUGAAGUCUUGUUGCUGCUUCAUCAUGUUAUCCAUCAUGGCUUGCAAUGAUGUAGUUUGCUGAGGGAUAGGGGCACUAUAAGUAGAAAUAGGUGGAGCCAAUGAUUGGUUUAUUUGUGAUGGAUCUAUCUUGAAAAAAUUCUUCUGAAAACCUGGUGGACCACCUUGAUGCUGAAUAGGUUCAUUUUACUUGUAUGAGAAAUUUGGGUGGAACCUAUUAUCAGGAUGGUAGACUGGGCUGAAUGAAUUGGGAGUGGAUUUCUUAAAGGCAUUAUAUGAAUUAAGAGCAUUUUCUUGCUCAGCCUUAAUUUUGGGUAAACUAGGACAACACUCCACUAGAUGCUCAGAACUGUUACACAAGAUACAUAAGCCCUGUGGCUCGUGUUCCACUUUCAUGAUGGGAUUUAACUCUUUGUAUGAGUUCAAGUUAGUGGAAACAGUAAAAGCAUCCAACUUUUUGCUCAGAUUGUUCACCCCAUUCACCAGAUUGGACAUAACAUUCUUGAGUUCUGGGUUUGUUUUUAUUCCGUAUGUACUUGGUUCUCUAGACCCAAAAUUAUCUCUAUCUACCUCCUGACCGUAACUACUCCAAUUUUGAGCAUUUUCAGCUAAGUCCACAAGGAACUCAUAGGCUUGAUCAGGGGUUUGGUUCAUGAACCUACCCUUAUUCAUGGAUUCAAUCAUGUUUCUAUGUGCUGGAGGUAAUCCUUUGUAAAAGAAAUGCACUAGAUCAGCCUUGUCAAGCCCAUGGUGCGGGCAUUUGACCGAAAGAUCAUGGAAUCUUUUCUAGAGUUGGAAAAAUUCCUCCUCAGAUUUUUCUCUAAAAGUUCUAAUAGCAUCCUUAAUUUUUUCAGUCUUUACCAUGGGAUAGAAUUUAGCCAUGAACUUUCUAGAUAGUUGUUCCCAUGAUGUAAUGGAAUUAGAAGCAAGAGAAUACAACCAUGCAGCGGCACGAUCCUCUAAAGUCAUGGGAAACAACCUUAAUUUAAUACCCUCUUCAUCUAAGUUUUGAUUUCUAAACGUUUGACAGAUUGUCAAAAAUUUGUUUAGAUGAAUAUACGGUUGUUCACUCUCAAAUCCUUGAAAUUUGGGUAACAUGUUUAUUGUUGCAGCCCGAAUCUCGAAUUGGGCUGCAUUAUUAAUUGGUAAUACUUUGCAAGUAGGGGGACUAGCGGAUGCGGGUGCGAACAACUCAUUCAAAGUUCUAAUAUGUUCACCCAUUGUAGAGAUUGAUGGUUGGCUUACAAUUCGCUGAUUGUGAUAAAAAGUUCUAUCAAUCUUAGGAUCAAAUGGUGUCAACUUACCCCUUAAUGACCUUCUACCAUGCAUACAUUAUCAACAAUUCAGUAGAUUUGACUCCUAAAAUGAACGAAAUCCUAAGAGAAAAGAAGGGCUAGACACAGAUGACCACAACCAACACCCCCCAACAAUUUGACCCUAUUAGUCUUAGAAUUAAGUGAGGUUUAGUAGCUUCUUAAAUCUAGUUGCACAGAGAUUUAUCAGGUUAAAAAGUUUCUGAAAUUUGCUCUGGAUUAGACAGCUCCUAAUCUUCCUUUCAGAUUAAGCUUGAGCUUACCAGUUAAGCGAUCCAGUAACCAGCGACCAGAAAAGUUUCGAGGUGUGUGGUGGUGCCAGAAGGGAUACACCGAUACCACAAUACCCGUAACAGUUCUCACUGUUGCAAAACUUUCCUAGACAUCACCAAUUACUAAAUUCUCACUGGAGUGGCUUUCAGCCGCUUCUUUCCAAUAGCCUAAUUGAGCUCGAAAAUCCUAAGGCCAACGUCUAAUUGAUUUUAAUUUAAUUUGGCUUAGGAUAUGUAUGCAAGGUGGUGAUUUUUGGGCUAAGGACAGGUAAUGACUUCCCGACCUUAUCUUUUUAAUGGGUUUUGCCCUUAAAUUAUUUUAUGCAAAUGCUUAAUACUAAAUGCAGCAAAUAAUCAAUGAUUUUUUUAAAGUUUAUGGAAUGUCAUUAGGUUGUAUUGAUUAAAUUAGCAAGCAAUCUUUUUAAUUUUAUGUUUUUUUAUUUAUUUAAAUUUUAAAUAGGAAUAACUUGAAUGUAAACUAAAAACUAAUCCUUCUGCAUCAGUCAAUCUCCGAAUGCUCGUUGAAUAAGCUUUGGAGAUUACUCCGUGAGGAGCCCCAAUAGAGGUAUGAUAACCUCGGAGGAUUGCACCCUAUUAAUUACUAGCAAAAAUAAUAAUUUUUUUUAAAUUUUUUGAUUUAAUUAUUUUUUUUAAAUUUAAAUUUCAAAUUUCGAAUUUCAGAAUUCAAAUUUCGAAUUUAAAUUUUUAAAUUUUAGAAUUUUGGAAUUUUUUUUAAUUUUUAUUUUUUUUGAAUUUUAAAUUUUUUUUUGAAUUUUAAAUUCUGAAUUUCAAAUUUUAGAAUUUAAUAGCUACAAAAUUAUUAACUAAAAAUAAUCAAAACAAGAAACAUUAAUAAAAAUAAUAAAAAAAACUUACUACCGGAGUGCAUUCACUUCGGGCAUUCAAAAUUCGAUUUGAUCUUCGUGAUCGUUCUUGCUUCUCGAUUUGCCUCCCCGGCAACGGCGCCAAAAUUUUAUUGUCGGACUCCUGUUUACCUAAAAAUAUGCUAAACAGAUCGUUGUUAGAACCGACAAACAAAGUUUAAAUUAAUUUUAUUCUUACCUGUUCUACUCGAAGAAUAGUGGUCGUAAGAGGUCGAUCCACAGGGAGGCGAUUGGAAUUGCAUAAAAAUUAAAACGUUCACUCGGAUUCGAAAUCGAUUUUUGAAUGAUAGAAGAAAAGCAUUAUUUUGAGGAUGUUGAUGGAUUCUCUAGUCUACCGGAGAAUAUUUUUUAUUUAAAAAUAACGAAAAGACAGAUACUUAAAUCAAAGUCUAAUGCAGAGUAGCGGUCAAACAGCAAAAAUAAAAAUAUUUAAAUAAGAUUACCAGUACACAUAAAAUAAAUUGCAGAAACUGAAACUUAGAAUAUAAAUUGCAUAAAAAGAGAUUUAUGGAUUGCAUUAAAAGGACAAGUACAAAAAUAAAGUGAAGAUUGGAAGCCUAAUGCUUCCUUCUUCUACAGAACAAAACAUAAAAACAAAGAAAGAAAAAUAAACAAUUGCAUUGUUUCUCUCCCUCGAUAGAGCUCCCAAAAAAAUAACAUAAAAUAUUAUUUGGAAAACAGAGCUCUUCUUCCUCCCUUUUUUUUCUUUCUUUCUUCUCCAAAAGAAACAGAGCUCUCCCCUGUUCUUUGGUUCAACACCCAGCCGACUCCUCCUCUUUCUUGGACUCGCUGGCCACCACCUCCCCUCCGUUUCACAGCCGAGAGCCCCUUCUUAUAGAUCGCCCGAGCCUUGAAGCCGGUGAUGGAUCCCUGAUGGAGUAACAGUCGCGGAUUUUGGGGGAUUUGCCAGGACACGGAGCGGACGCGGGAGCUUGAUCCGUGGAGGGGGUGAUUCACGGGAAGAAGGAGAGGGCGGACGCUGAGGACGCCUCAAAUUCGGAAGGGGGAAGUGGGGAUUUCUCGGAGGAAGGCGUGGAAGCUGGAUGCGGACGGAUGGAUGCUGUGACUGGAAGAAGAGGAGAUGGGAGGCUGAGACGGUGGCUUGAUCACAGCACGGGAUCACUGGGCGGAUUGCGGAGUAGGGGGUUGAUGAUCCAUGGAGCUCGGACGCGACGUCGGAGGCUGGGAUUGUGGGAUGCUGUGAGGAGGUGAUGACCCAUGGGCUGGUGGGAGGAGCCGAUCACGGCCACGGUGGAAGCUUGGAUCACGGCUUGACUUCGGAAGGGAGGAGACGCGCUGAAGAUGGAAGAUGCCACGGGAUGAUUCGGGCGUUGAUCAUGGAAGAUGCUUGGGGGAUCCGAUUGCUGGGGUACGGAAGAGAUGGGUGCUGUGGGAUUCGGAAGGUUGGAGCUGGGGAGGAUGGAUGACCGUGAUGCACUGCGGGAGGAAUCAGAUCGCGGAAGGAUUUGGCUGCGGCUGAAAUGCGGGAUGAGCUGAGCUCAAACCCAAUUUUAUUGGGUCUCUUGGAUUACUUGCACUCAAACACAAA